RNAcentral lists this non-coding RNA (26 nucleotides) under Bombyx mori (domestic silkworm). The record is from RNAcentral. Lineage: Eukaryota; Metazoa; Arthropoda; Insecta; Lepidoptera; Bombycidae.
UCCUUCGUGCUGGGGAUUGGGGUUUG